UGACAGAAAAGGUGGAGCCUCGAAGGUUU
This 29-nucleotide non-coding RNA is filed under the name Mus musculus (house mouse). Lineage: Eukaryota; Metazoa; Chordata; Mammalia; Rodentia; Muridae. The record is from RNAcentral.